RNAcentral lists this ribosomal RNA (274 nucleotides) under uncultured bacterium. RNAcentral's name for it is "partial 16S ribosomal RNA". It matches the Rfam family "Bacterial small subunit ribosomal RNA", at positions 523 to 796 of the family's 1533-position model. The record is from RNAcentral.
AUACGGAGGGUCCAAGCGUUACUCGGAAUCACUGGGCGUAAAGCGCGCGCAGGCGGCCAUUUAAGUUGGAUGUGAAAGCCUACGGCUCAACCGUAGAACUGCAUCCAAAACUAUUUGGCUAGAGUGUGGGAGAGGAAGAUGGAAUUAGUUGUGUAGGGGUAAAAUCCGUAGAGAUACCUAGGAAUACCAAAAGCGAAGGCAAUCUUCUGGAACAUUACUGACGCUGAGGCGCGAAAGCGUGGGGAGCAAACAGGAUUAGAAACCCUAGUAGUCC